This 253-nucleotide ribosomal RNA is filed under the name uncultured bacterium. RNAcentral's name for it is "partial 16S ribosomal RNA". It matches the Rfam family "Bacterial small subunit ribosomal RNA", at positions 524 to 776 of the family's 1533-position model. The record is from RNAcentral.
UACGUAGGGGGCAAGCGUUGUCCGGAUUUAUUGGGCGUAAAGAGCGUGUAGGCGGCCAGGUAGGUCUGCUGUGAAAACUCGAGGCUUAACCUCGAGCUGUCGGCGGAAACCAUCUGGCUAGAGUUCGGAAGAGGAGAAUGGAAUUCCCGGUGUAGCGGUGAAAUGCGCAGAUAUCGGGAAGAACACCGGUGGCGAAGGCGGCAUUCUGGACCGAUAUUGACGCUGAGGAGCGAAAGCCAGGGGAGCAAACGGG